GGCUAUUGGGUAGUCCGCACGAGCGCAAUCCUUGUCCUUAGUUGCCAGCAUCAGUUGGGCACUCUAAGGAGACUGCCGGUGUUAAACCGGAGGAAGGUGGGGAUGACGUCAAGUCCUCAUGGCCCUUAUGUCCAGGGCUACACACGUGCUACAAUGGCCGGUACAAAGGGUAGCGAGACCGCAAGGUUGAGCGAAUCCCAAAAGGCUGGUCUCAGUUCGGAUUGGAGUCUGCAACUCGACUCCAUGAAGUUGGAAUCGCUAGUAAUCGCGGAUCAGCAUGCCGCGGUGAAUACGUUCCCGGGCCUU
Molecule: ribosomal RNA, 306 nt
Filed under: uncultured Pelobacter sp.
Lineage: Bacteria; Pseudomonadati; Thermodesulfobacteriota; Desulfuromonadia; Desulfuromonadales; Desulfuromonadaceae
Description: bacterial SSU rRNA
Rfam family: Bacterial small subunit ribosomal RNA
Source: RNAcentral